Molecule: transfer RNA, 75 nt
Filed under: Aeromicrobium endophyticum
Lineage: Bacteria; Bacillati; Actinomycetota; Actinomycetes; Propionibacteriales; Nocardioidaceae
Description: Aeromicrobium sp. M2KJ-4 tRNA-His
Rfam family: tRNA
About the family: Transfer RNA (tRNA) molecules are approximately 80 nucleotides in length. Their secondary structure includes four short double-helical elements and three loops (D, anti-codon, and T loops).
Source: RNAcentral
GUGGGUGUAGCUCAGCUGGUAGAGCACCGCCUUGUGGUGGCGGUGGUCGCGGGUUCGAGUCCCGUCACUCACCCA